CCCACGUUUCUUUACACCCUUAUCCUCAUUCUGUUCUGCCUUCUCUUCUUUCUCCUGAGACCCAUCAACCUUCUCCUCCACCUCUUCUUUGUUUUCCUCAUUUUCUUCAACUUCUGCAUCAUCUUUUGAUCCAGUUUCUUCUUCCACUGGUUCAUUUUUUUCUUCCUUUACUUCAGUUUCGGGUUCAUCCUUUUCUUUUUCUUCUUUGCUUUCCUUCUCUUCAUUCACCUUGGGGUCUUCAUCCAUCUUCUCAGUCUCAGCUUCCACAUUAUCAACUUUAUCUUCAUCCAUUGCUUUCAAUACACUACUUUCCUCUUCUUUUUUCUGUGUCACAACUUUACCUGAUUUCUCUGGUGCACUAGUUCCAUUUUCAACUACAUCAGGAACUUCAGUCACCGAUUCUUCCUUGCCCAUUUGCAAAACAGUCUAACGCAAAAG
This 438-nucleotide unclassified non-coding RNA is filed under the name Hevea brasiliensis (rubber tree). The record is from RNAcentral. Lineage: Eukaryota; Viridiplantae; Streptophyta; Magnoliopsida; Malpighiales; Euphorbiaceae.